Molecule: ribosomal RNA, 668 nt
Filed under: Hyphodontia pallidula
Lineage: Eukaryota; Fungi; Basidiomycota; Agaricomycetes; Hymenochaetales; Schizoporaceae
Description: eukaryotic LSU rRNA
Source: RNAcentral
UUAGAGGAAGUAAAAGUCGUAACAAGGUUUCCGUAGGUGAACCUGCGGAAGGAUCAUUAUCGAGUUUGAAGUGGGUCUUUGAGCUGGCUUUUCACGAAGCACCGUGCUCGGGCCCCGCUCCAUCCACUCAACCCCUGUGCACUUUCGAUGRCGUGGUCUCGUUGAGUGAUGUUCCAUUCAUUUGGACAUCGGAGGUCGCGACGUCGUCUYAUCACAAACUUAUUACAAUAGUCUUGUCGAACGUGGAUGCUCGUAAGGGCGGAAACACAAUACAACUUUCAACAACGGAUCUCUUGGCUCUCGCAUCGAUGAAGAACGCAGCGAAAUGCGAUAAGUAAUGUGAAUUGCAGAAUUCAGUGAAUCAUCGAAUCUUUGAACGCACCUUGCGCUCCUUGGUAUUCCGAGGAGCAUGCCUGUUUGAGUGUCAUGAAAUCAUCAACCUUACYGUCUUUGUUGACGGUGUAGGCUUGGACUUGGGGACCGUGCUGGCCUUUCUGAGGUCGGCUUCCCUUGAAUGCAUUAGUCGAGCGCCCUCGCUCCGAGACGUGUGAUAAUUAUCAUUCACUGAUCGACGAGGGCUGUGCUGGGCUUCUAACCGUCGCGUUAGUGACAAUNUUGACAAUCUGACCUCAAAUCAGGUAGGACUACCCGCUGAACUUAAGCAUAUC